CGGGCUCCGGAGUUGGCUCGGCAGCUGCGGCCAGGGGGCUGAAUCCACGGGCACGGAGUUGGCCGGGGGCGAACGGGUCUCUGGAGCUUACAGAUCAUCAAAAAGAACAUAGAAGACAGUACAGAAAGAAUUCUGGCAUUUAAAAAGUUGAAACCACUAAAAUCAACUUCCAUCUGUUUUAAACCCGGUAUCACAAACCAAGAAUCACAACUCUGAGUGUGCCACAGCUCGAUAUCAGAUGUGCAUCUAUUUCAAGGCAAUUCACAGGAGAAAAAAAAUGACAUCUACAUAU
RNAcentral lists this long non-coding RNA (292 nucleotides) under Homo sapiens (human). Its description in RNAcentral is "HSALNT0347171". Lineage: Eukaryota; Metazoa; Chordata; Mammalia; Primates; Hominidae. The record is from RNAcentral.